Molecule: ribosomal RNA, 434 nt
Filed under: beta proteobacterium SCGC AAA027-I06
Lineage: Bacteria; Pseudomonadati; Pseudomonadota; Betaproteobacteria
Description: bacterial SSU rRNA
Rfam family: Bacterial small subunit ribosomal RNA
Source: RNAcentral
GUGGGGAAUUUUGGACAAUGGGCGAAAGCCUGAUCCAGCCAUUCCGCGUGCAGGAUGAAGGCCCUCGGGUUGUAAACUGCUUUUGUACAGAACGAAAAGGUUUCUAUUAAUACUAGGAGCUCAUGACGGUACUGUAAGAAUAAGCACCGGCUAACUACGUGCCAGCAGCCGCGGUAAUACGUAGGGUGCAAGCGUUAAUCGGAAUUACUGGGCGUAAAGCGUGCGCAGGCGGUUAUAUAAGUCAGAUGUGAAAUCCCCGGGCUCAACCUGGGAACUGCAUUUGAGACUGUAUAGCUAGAGUACGGUAGAGGGGGAUGGAAUUCCGCGUGUAGCAGUGAAAUGCGUAGAUAUGCGGAGGAACACCGAUGGCGAAGGCAAUCCCCUGGACCUGUACUGACGCUCAUGCACGAAAGCGUGGGGAGCAAACAGGAUUA